GUAAACGAUGAGUGCUAAGUGUUGGAGGGUUUCCGCCCUUUCAGUGCUGCAGCUAACGCAUUAAGCACUCCGCCUGGGGAGUACGACCGCAAGGUUGAAACUCAAAGGAAUUGACGGGGGCCCGCACAAGCGGUGGAGCAUGUGGUUUAAUUCGAAGCAACGCGAAGAACCUUACCAGGUCUUGACAUCCUCUGACAACCCUAGAGAUAGGGCUUUCCCUUCGGGGACAGAGUGACAGGUGGUGCAUGGUUGUCGUCAGCUCGUGUCGUGAGAUGUUGGGUUAAGUCCCGCAACGAGCGCAACCCUUGUCGUUAGUUGCCAUCAUUCAGUUGGGCACUCUAGCGAGACUGCCGGUGACAAACCGGAGGAAGGUGGGGAUGACGUCAAAUCAUCAUGCCCCUUAUGACCUGGGCUACACACGUGCUACAAUGGACGGUACAACGAGCAGCGAACUCGCGAGGGCAAGCGAAUCUCUUAAAGCCGUUCUCAGUUCGGAUUGCAGGCUGCAACUCGCCUGCAUGAAGCCGGAAUCGCUAGUAAUCGUGGAUCAGCAUGCCACGGUGAAUACGUUCCCGGGCCUUGUACACACCGCCCGUCACACCACGAGAGUUUGUAACACCCAAAGUCGGUGCGGUAACCUUUUGGAGCCAGCCGCCUAAGGUGGGAUAGAUGAUUGGGGUG
This 681-nucleotide ribosomal RNA is filed under the name uncultured Catellicoccus sp. RNAcentral describes it as "bacterial SSU rRNA". It matches the Rfam family "Bacterial small subunit ribosomal RNA", at positions 802 to 1482 of the family's 1533-position model. Lineage: Bacteria; Bacillati; Bacillota; Bacilli; Lactobacillales; Enterococcaceae. The record is from RNAcentral.